This 849-nucleotide long non-coding RNA is filed under the name Sinocyclocheilus anshuiensis. Its description in RNAcentral is "lncRNA (ENSSANG00000016701.1)". Lineage: Eukaryota; Metazoa; Chordata; Actinopteri; Cypriniformes; Cyprinidae. The record is from RNAcentral.
AAAAAGCGUUGGCAAAAGUUUGACCAAGUCAGUGACAAAGCGUUAAAUGUAGUCAAAGUUACUUGUAUUCAAGAAACAGAACAAUUACCCUCAGAAAAUUGUGACGUUUUGGUGGGUGAUACAAAUAAGUCUUGUCCAUUUGUGCCUGGGAAGGAAACUACAAUCAAUGCAUCUGAAAAUACUCAAGACAACUGUCAAAAAAAUGACAUCCCAACAGGUAAAAUUUCAAUGUAAUCCAUGCUAACAUCAUCUAAGGAAAAUAUGUAGUUGUGGAAUUUUAAAGUGGGCUCAAAAAUUUUUGUGUUUUUCACAGAAUGCAAACGUAUUAGAAAACCUAGCAAAAGACUCAUAGAAUGGACAGAGGAAUACGAUCAAUUGUUUUCCACUAAGAAGAAAGCAAAAAAGAAACCUGAGUCCUUUACUAAGGUUGAAAACAAUAACUGCAGUGGCCCAGUGGAGAAAACAUCUGGCGAAAGUAUACAGAAACCUCAGGUGACAGAACAAGGUGUGUCAAGGCCCCUGCCAGAAUUACAGACUCCUCCUCCAGAAGACCUGUCUCGGAGCACUCCUUCAAUAAAUCCCACGCCAUGUCAAGAGAGGCAGGUGUUGUCUGUAGACACUCUUACUCCACCUCCAGAAACAAUCCCAUCACCGUGUGCUGAAAUUUGUCAUAAGGAGGAGCUUCAAAAACAAAAUGCUAUAGCCACUGGUGAUGGUGUGUGUCUAAGCACAAAGAGACAACGGAAACCCACCAAAAAGAUUCUGGAAAGCUCCAUAGAAGCUGAACCAAUUCUUGUGCCAAAAAGAAAGGUACUUGUUUAAACUAUAACUAUUUUAGAAAGUUUACUU